CCUACGGGAGGCAGCAGUGAGGAAUAUUGGUCAAUGGGCGCAAGCCUGAACCAGCCAAGUAGCGUGAAGGAUGACUGCCCUACGGGUUGUAAACUUCUUUUAUAAAGGAGUAAAGGGAGGCACGUGUGCCUGUUUGUAUGUACUCUAUCAAUAAAGAUCGGCCAACUUCGUGCCAGCAGCCGAGGUGAUACGGGGGAGUCGGGGAUUAUCCGGAGUUGUUUGGGUUAAAGGGAGCGUAGGUGGGUUGUUAAGUCAGUUGUGAAAGUUUGCGGCUCAACCCUAAAAUUGCAAUUGAUACUGGCAGUCUUGAGUACAGGUGAGGUAGGCGGAAUUCGUGGUGUAGCGGUGAAAUGCUUAGAUAUCACGAAGAACUCCGAUUGCGAAGGCAGCUUACUGGACUGCCACUGACGUUGAUGCGCGAAAGUGUGGGUAUCAAACAGGAUUAGAUACCCGGGUAGUC
RNAcentral lists this ribosomal RNA (460 nucleotides) under uncultured bacterium. RNAcentral's name for it is "partial 16S ribosomal RNA". It matches the Rfam family "Bacterial small subunit ribosomal RNA", at positions 338 to 795 of the family's 1533-position model. The record is from RNAcentral.